This is a long non-coding RNA of Quercus lobata, 362 nucleotides long. RefSeq lists it as uncharacterized. The record is from RefSeq and is a predicted model, not a curated record. The transcript has 2 exons. NCBI's taxonomy places the organism in Eukaryota, Viridiplantae, Streptophyta, Magnoliopsida, Fagales, Fagaceae.
UUCCAUCCCACUAAUUAAACAGCUGGAUGCUAUGCUUUUACUAGGCUUACUCAUGUCUGGUACUAUUCUAGGAAACCAACCUUGGACAUAUAUUUAUUUUAUUUUCUGUGUUUCAUAGUUGACCCUUGUCUUGGAGAUGACUACCCACUUAACUCAGUCUGGACGGUGGCUCAGCUUGCCAAAGCAUGCACACAAGAGGAUCCACAACUACGUCCAAGUAUGAGAUCUAUAGUGGUUGCCUUAAUGCAGGACAAGCCAAAACUUUGACAGAAAAAUUAAACAAUAACAAAAAUAAAUGAUAGAAACCUAGGAAUCAGUAUCAAGUUUUGCUUGGAGUAACACUAAGGCUUUGUUUGUUUGAG